RNAcentral lists this ribosomal RNA (664 nucleotides) under uncultured Lachnospiraceae bacterium. RNAcentral describes it as "bacterial SSU rRNA". It matches the Rfam family "Bacterial small subunit ribosomal RNA", at positions 94 to 776 of the family's 1533-position model. Lineage: Bacteria; Bacillati; Bacillota; Clostridia; Lachnospirales; Lachnospiraceae. The record is from RNAcentral.
AGUGGCGGACGGGUGAGUAACGCGUGGGUAACCUGCCUCACACUGGGGGACAACAGUUAGAAAUGACUGCUAAUACCGCAUAAGCGCACAGGACCGCAUGGUCCGGUGUGAAAAACUCCGGUGGUGUGAGAUGGACCCGCGUUUGAUUAGCUAGUUGGUGGGGUAACGGCCUACCAAGGCGACGAUCAAUAGCCGACCUGAGAGGGUGAACGGCCACAUUGGGACUGAGACACGGCCCAGACUCCUACGGGAGGCAGCAGUGGGGAAUAUUGCACAAUGGGGGAAACCCUGAUGCAGCGACGCCGCGUGAAGGAAGAAGUAUCUCGGUAUGUAAACUUCUAUCAGCAGGGAAGAUAGUGACGGUACCUGACUAAGAAGCCCCGGCUAACUACGUGCCAGCAGCCGCGGUAAUACGUAGGGGGCAAGCGUUAUCCGGAUUUACUGGGUGUAAAGGGAGCGUAGACGGUGUGGCAAGUCUGAUGUGAAAGGCAUGGGCUCAACCUGUGGACUGCAUUGGAAACUGUCAUACUUGAGUGCCGGAGGGGUAAGCGGAAUUCCUAGUGUAGCGGUGAAAUGCGUAGAUAUUAGGAGGAACACCAGUGGCGAAGGCGGCUUACUGGACGGUAACUGACGUUGAGGCUCGAAAGCGUGGGGAGCAAACAGG